Molecule: ribosomal RNA, 254 nt
Filed under: uncultured bacterium
Lineage: Bacteria
Description: partial 16S ribosomal RNA
Rfam family: Bacterial small subunit ribosomal RNA
Source: RNAcentral
UACGGGGGGAGCAAGCGUUGUUCGGAUUUACUGGGCGGAAAGGGCGCGUAGGCGGCCACCGCAAGUCGAUUGUGAAAUCUCCGGGCUUAACCCGGAAAGGUCAACCGAUACUGCGGGGCUAGAGUGCAGAAGGGGCAACUGGAAUUCUCGGUGUAGCGGUGAAAUGCGUAGAUAUCGAGAGGAACACCUGCGGCGAAGGCGGGUUGCUGGGCUGACACUGACGCUGAAGUGCGAAAGCUAGGGGAGCGAACGGG